RNAcentral lists this ribosomal RNA (2234 nucleotides) under Listeria welshimeri. Its description in RNAcentral is "partial 23S ribosomal RNA". It matches the Rfam family "Bacterial large subunit ribosomal RNA", at positions 698 to 2925 of the family's 2925-position model. Lineage: Bacteria; Bacillati; Bacillota; Bacilli; Caryophanales; Listeriaceae. The record is from RNAcentral.
AGUAACAGGUCGUAGACCCGAAACCAGGUGAUCUACCCAUGUCCAGGAUGAAGGUAAGGUAAUACUUACUGGAGGUCCGAACCCACGCACGUUGAAAAGUGCGGGGAUGAGGUGUGGGUAGCGGAGAAAUUCCAAUCGAACUUGGAGAUAGCUGGUUCUCUCCGAAAUAGCUUUAGGGCUAGCCUCGAGGUAAAGAGUCAUGGAGGUAGAGCACUGUUUGGACUAGGGGCCCUUCUCGGGUUACCGAAUUCAGAUAAACUCCGAAUGCCAUGUACUUAUACUCGGGAGUCAGACUGCGAGUGAUAAGAUCCGUAGUCGAAAGGGAAACAGCCCAGACCACCAGUUAAGGUCCCCAAAUAUAUGUUAAGUGGAAAAGGAUGUGGGGUUGCUUAGACAACCAGGAUGUUGGCUUAGAAGCAGCCACCAUUGAAAGAGUGCGUAAUAGCUCACUGGUCGAGUGACCCCGCGCCGAAAAUGUACCGGGGCUAAACAUAUUACCGAAACUGUGGAUGAACCUCUUUGGAGGUUCGUGGUAGGAGAGCGUUCUAAGGGCGGUGAAGUCAGACCGGAAGGACUGGUGGAGCGCUUAGAAGUGAGAAUGCCGGUAUGAGUAGCGAAAGAAGGGUGAGAAUCCCUUCCACCGAAUAUCUAAGGUUUCCUGAGGAAGGCUCGUCCGCUCAGGGUUAGUCGGGACCUAAGCCGAGGCCGAUAGGCGUAGGCGAUGGACAACAGGUAGAGAUUCCUGUACCAGUGCUAAUUGUUUAACCGAUGGGGUGACACAGAAGGAUAGGGAAUCGCACGAAUGGAAAUGUGCGUCCAAGCAGUGAGUGUGAGAAGUAGGCAAAUCCGCUUCUCGCGAAGCAUGAGCUGUGAUGGGGAAGGAAAUAAAGUACGGAAGUUCCUGAUUUCACGCUGUCAAGAAAAGCCUCUAGGAAGAGUAGUACUGCCCGUACCGCAAACCGACACAGGUAGAUGAGGAGAGAAUCCUAAGGUGAGCGAGAGAACUCUCGUUAAGGAACUCGGCAAAAUGACCCCGUAACUUCGGGAGAAGGGGUGCUCUAUUAGGGUGCAAGCCCGAGAGAGCCGCAGUGAAUAGGCCCAGGCGACUGUUUAGCAAAAACACAGGUCUCUGCAAAACCGUAAGGUGACGUAUAGGGGCUGACGCCUGCCCGGUGCUGGAAGGUUAAGAGGAGUGCUUAGCUUCGGCGAAGGUACGAAUUGAAGCCCCAGUAAACGGCGGCCGUAACUAUAACGGUCCUAAGGUAGCGAAAUUCCUUGUCGGGUAAGUUCCGACCCGCACGAAAGGCGCAACGAUCUGGGCACUGUCUCAACGAGAGACUCGGUGAAAUUAUAGUACCUGUGAAGAUGCAGGUUACCCGCGACAGGACGGAAAGACCCCGUGGAGCUUUACUGCAACCUGAUAUGGAAUGUUUGUACCGCUUGUACAGGAUAGGUAGGAGCCGAAGAGACGUGUGCGCUAGCAUACGAGGAGGCAAUGGUGGGAUACUACCCUGGCUGUAUGACCAUUCUAACCCGCCACGCUUAGCGCGUGGGGAGACAGUGUCAGGUGGGCAGUUUGACUGGGGCGGUCGCCUCCUAAAGAGUAACGGAGGCGCCCAAAGGUUCCCUCAGAAUGGAUGGAAAUCAUUCGCAGAGUGUAAAGGCACAAGGGAGCUUGACUGCGAGACUGACAAGUCGAGCAGGGACGAAAGUCGGGCUUAGUGAUCCGGUGGUUCCGCAUGGAAGGGCCAUCGCUCAACGGAUAAAAGCUACCCCGGGGAUAACAGGCUUAUCUCCCCCAAGAGUCCACAUCGACGGGGAGGUUUGGCACCUCGAUGUCGGCUCGUCGCAUCCUGGGGCUGUAGUCGGUCCCAAGGGUUGGGCUGUUCGCCCAUUAAAGCGGCACGCGAGCUGGGUUCAGAACGUCGUGAGACAGUUCGGUCCCUAUCCGUCGCGGGCGCAGGAAAUUUGAGAGGAGCUGUCCUUAGUACGAGAGGACCGGGAUGGACACACCGCUGGUGUACCAGUUGUUCCGCCAGGAGCAUCGCUGGGUAGCUAUGUGUGGCAGGGAUAAACGCUGAAAGCAUCUAAGCGUGAAGCCCCCCUCAAGAUGAGAUUUCCCAUUUCUUCGGAAAGUAAGAUCCCUGAAAGAUGAUCAGGUAGAUAGGUUUGGAGUGGAAGUGUAGCGAUACAUGGAGCGGACAAAUACUAAUCGAUCGAGGACUUAACCAAAA